This 258-nucleotide ribosomal RNA is filed under the name uncultured bacterium. RNAcentral's name for it is "partial 16S ribosomal RNA". It matches the Rfam family "Bacterial small subunit ribosomal RNA", at positions 524 to 776 of the family's 1533-position model. The record is from RNAcentral.
GACGAACCGUGCGAACGUAUUCGGAAUCACUGGGCUUAAAAGCGCGUGUAGGCGGGGUGGGAACGUCGGCCGCUGAAAUCCCCCCGGCUCAACCGGGGGAAGUGGCGCCGAAACGGCCCGCCUGGAGGAACGUAGGGGGAGCUGGAACUUCCGGUGGAGCGGUGAAAUGCGUUGAGAUCGGAAGGAACGCCCGUGGCGAAAGCGAGCUCCUGGACGUUUUCUGACGCUGAGACGCGAAAAGCCAGGGGAGCGAACGGG